AUUUUGGACAAUGGGGGAAACCCUGAUCCAGCCAUCCCGCGUGAAUGAUGAAGGCAUUCGGGUUGAAAAGUACUUUUGGCAGAGAAGAAAAGGUAUCUCCUAAUACAAGAUACAUCUGCCGGUAUCUGCAGAAUAAGCACCGGCUAACUACGUGCCAGACGCCGCGGUAAUACGUAGGGUGCAAGCGUUAAUCGGAAUUACUGGGCGUAAAGCGUAUGUAGGCGGUUCGGAAAGAAAGAUGUGAAAUCCCAGGGCUCAACCUUGGAACUGCAUUUUUAACUGCCGAGCUAGAGUAUGUCAGAGGGGGGUAGAAUUCCACGUGUAGCAGUGAAAUGCGUAGAUAUGUGGAGAAAUACCGAUGACGAAGGCAGCCCCCUGGGAUAAUACUGACGCUCAGACACGAAAGCGUGGGCAGCAAACAGG
Molecule: ribosomal RNA, 423 nt
Filed under: uncultured bacterium
Lineage: Bacteria
Description: partial 16S ribosomal RNA
Rfam family: Bacterial small subunit ribosomal RNA
Source: RNAcentral